AGUAGGAUUGCUUCAGUAUAGGGUAAGCAUGGAACAUAUAAGACAUCGGUAAUUCAAUUAUUCAAUAUGAAACCACCUACAGUUAUCUUGAAAAUAUCAGUGUUAUUCUUAUUGUAUACGGUUACCUCAAUGUCGACUGUAAGUUCUAAAUUCCAAACUGGCACUCCUCACACCCUAUGGUUGGUUCCCAGACGUCGUCAAUGAUAAAUGGUCAAGUGCCGAAGAAAUACGGACACAACCUCCCAGUUUCUAUAUCCGCCGUUAAUCUUAACAACAUUGGUAAAUCAGUCGAGAGCCUUUACUCGGUAGAGUCCGUGGUUUCCGAUCCGCCGGACCAUCCAAUAUUCGUGAAUGAGGACAUACAUCAAUAUCCCGUCCCUGUUCUGAAAUCUACGGAUUUAGGCGAUCUGAGACUGUAAGAGUUUUUCGAGAAAAGUCAUGAAUACAACUCGGAUGAGGACACUGGUCCGGGGAUAAUUUCCGGUGGCGUCCCCGGGCGCUCACUCCGCUCAUUUCGGUCCCAAAAGAAGCGGCGCCGCACGAUGAAACGGACAAAAAGCCUGAACGCUGCGAACACCCCUACCAUAGUAGUCACCCCGACCUCAAACGAGGACAUCUCUACACGGUUCAAGUUCAUACAUCUCUGACGAACGUUUUUUUUUUCAUACACAUGAUAUAACAUUUAUCUGUUGUUUGAUAUGUGUUCGUUGACUUGUUGAUUGACGUGUCAAUGUACAAUGAUAUAUGUUUUUAAUGUUAAGUGAUGAACUAUUGAAAAGUAUUAAGAAGUGA
Long non-coding RNA from Dreissena polymorpha, 792 nucleotides. RefSeq lists it as uncharacterized. NCBI's taxonomy places the organism in Eukaryota, Metazoa, Mollusca, Bivalvia, Myida, Dreissenidae. The record is from RefSeq and is a predicted model, not a curated record. The transcript is spliced from 2 exons.